GCGUCACAUUAGUUAGUUGGUGGGGUAAAGGCCUACCAAGACUAUGAUGUGUAGCCGGGCUGAGAGGUUGAACGGCCACAUUGGGACUGAGACACGGCCCAAACUCCUACGGGAGGCAGCAGUAGGGAAUUUUCGGCAAUGGAGGAAACUCUGACCGAGCAACGCCGCGUGAACGAUGAAGUAUUUCGGUACGUAAAGUUCUUUUAUUAGGGAAGAAUAAAUGAUGGAAAAAUCAUUCUGACGGUACCUAAUGAAUAAGCCCCGGCUAACUAUGUGCCAGCAGCCGCGGUAAUACAUAGGGGGCAAGCGUUAUCCGGAAUUAUUGGGCGUAAAGGGUGCGUAGGCGGUUAAAUAAGUUUAUGGUCUAAGUGCAAUGCUCAACAUUGUGAUGCUAUAAAAACUGUUUAGCUAGAGUAAGAUAGAGGCAAGUGGAAUUCCAUGUGUAGUGGUAAAAUGCGUAAAUAUAUGGAGGAACACCAGUAGCGAAGGCGGCUUGCUGGGUCUUUACUGACGCUGAGGCACGAAAGCGUGGGGAGCAAACAGGAUUAGAUACCCUGGUAGUCCACGCCGUAAACGAUGAGUACUAAACGUUGGGUAAAACCAGUGUUGAAGUUAACACAUUAAGUACUCCGCCUGAGUAGUACGUACGCAAGUAUGAAACUUAAAGGAAUUGACGGGACUCCGCACAAGCGGUGGAUCAUGUUGUUUAAUUCGAAGGUACCCGAAAAACCUCACCAGGUCUUGACAUGCUUCUGCAAAGCUGUAGAAACACAGUGGAGGUUAUCAGUUGCACAGGUGGUGCAUGGUUGUCGUCAGCUCGUGUCGUGAGAUGUUGGGUUAAGUCCCGCAACGAGCGCAACCCUUAUUGUUAGUUACCAGCACGUAAUGGUGGGGACUUUAGCAAGACUGCCAGUGAUGAAUUGGAGGAAGGUGGGGACGACGUCAAAUCAUCAUGCCCCUUAUGACCUGGGCUACAAACGUGAUACAAUGGCUGUUACAAAGGGUAGCUGAAGCGCAAGUUUUUGGCGAAUCUCAAAAAAACAGUCUCAGUUCGGAUUGAAGUCUGCAACU
Molecule: ribosomal RNA, 1071 nt
Filed under: 'Quercus humboldtii' aster yellows phytoplasma
Lineage: Bacteria; Bacillati; Mycoplasmatota; Mollicutes; Acholeplasmatales; Acholeplasmataceae
Description: bacterial SSU rRNA
Rfam family: Bacterial small subunit ribosomal RNA
Source: RNAcentral